This 375-nucleotide ribosomal RNA is filed under the name uncultured bacterium. Its description in RNAcentral is "bacterial SSU rRNA". It matches the Rfam family "Bacterial small subunit ribosomal RNA", at positions 524 to 898 of the family's 1533-position model. The record is from RNAcentral.
UACGUAGGUGGCAAGCGUUAAUCGGAAUUACUGGGCGUAAAGCGCACGCAGGCGGUCUGUCAAGUCGGAUGUGAAAUCCCCGGGCUCAACCUGGGAACUGCAUUCGAAACUGGCAGGCUAGAGUCUUGUAGAGGGGGGUAGAAUUCCAGGUGUAGCGGUGAAAUGCGUAGAGAUCUGGAGGAAUACCGGUGGCGAAGGCGGCCCCCUGGACAAAGACUGACGCUCAGGUGCGAAAGCGUGGGGAGCAAACAGGAUUAGAUACCCUGGUAGUCCACGCCGUAAACGAUGUCGAUUUGGAGGUUGUGCCCUUGAGGCGUGGCUUCCGGAGCUAACGCGUUAAAUCGACCGCCUGGGGAGUACGGCCGCAAGGUUAAA